CUGCAUCUUCUUAGUUCAACAAACUAUAUUCGACAAGUCCACAAGAUCUUUUUACCCUUUUCUGGGUCUAAUAAAUACGAUCCACCAACACAGCUUAUUGAAAAUUAAAUCCAAAAUCAUAAACAUAAACCCCAGAUCUACAAGCAUUUAUUUGGAAAGAAGGGUAACACACUUCAUUCCUAAUUUUAAAUACAAAGGGGAUGUCCAAUACAAUUGGUGCACAUUAUUAUUGUAAGUUCAGACAUAAAAUUCAUGGGUCCUCCAAAAAAUCCCAGAAAAAACUGGUCAGAUGCGCAUCCUCAUGCUUCUACAAUCUGAAAAUUUAUGCACCACCUGAUAGCUGGAGCUGCUUGAUGUGCAUGAUCUGUUUUCCAGGAUUCAAGCCUUUAGGGCAGGCUCGGGCACAAUUCAAUAUGGUAUGG
RNAcentral lists this unclassified non-coding RNA (422 nucleotides) under Hevea brasiliensis (rubber tree). The record is from RNAcentral. Lineage: Eukaryota; Viridiplantae; Streptophyta; Magnoliopsida; Malpighiales; Euphorbiaceae.